AGAUUAGAUUAUGACUUUAAGAUACAGAACGUUUAAGUAAUUAGGACAUAUGUGGUUUUUUAAACGAGUAUUAUGGUAUUUUAAAAUUUUAAAAUUAUUUUUAUGUACAUGGAACGUCUAAUUAAUUUUUAAAAAAAAAAUUAAAAUAAUAUUUAUUUAGUAAGUGAUAUGUACAUAACUAAUUAGCUAUAUAUAAUAAUAUGUACUAUAUAUUUAUAGAUAUGUAUAAUUAAUUAAUUAUAUAUAAUAAUACUAUUUAAUAUAUCGGAAGUAAAUAUUUUGUUAAGAUAUAAUAUAUCCUCAUAUAUAUAAAUAUAUAUUAUUAAUAACAAUAUAUAAUAUGAGUCCGGCUGGUAUGCUAUCGAUAUCACCAAACACUUGGUACUAUCAAAUUUUCUGCCAUUAGAUUAACUCCAUCGAUUAUUUUUACCCAUUAAAUUAUAAUAUUCAACCAACCACCCACUCAACCCUAGGGGGCCCACAUCAUCUUAACCGCACAUCUUUUAAUCCAAGGGCGGAAAACUUAAUAGCACCAAGUCAUUGGUGCUAUUAAUAGUAUUCCAGUCUAGUUCUAUAUAAUAUAUAUAUCAUAUACUAUAUCAUUUAUUCCUUUUAUAGAUAAAUAUUACAUAUAUAUAUAAUUAAAUAUUUUAUUUUAAUAAUUUAUAUAUCGGACUUUUGGGU
This 684-nucleotide long non-coding RNA is filed under the name Ananas comosus (pineapple). Its description in RNAcentral is "long non-coding RNA (ACOM_LNC038943)". The record is from RNAcentral. Lineage: Eukaryota; Viridiplantae; Streptophyta; Magnoliopsida; Poales; Bromeliaceae.